RNAcentral lists this transfer RNA (77 nucleotides) under Geobacter sp. Its description in RNAcentral is "tRNA-Arg". It matches the Rfam family "tRNA". From Rfam's summary of the family: Transfer RNA (tRNA) molecules are approximately 80 nucleotides in length. Their secondary structure includes four short double-helical elements and three loops (D, anti-codon, and T loops). Further hydrogen bonds mediate the characteristic L-shaped molecular structure. tRNAs have two regions of fundamental functional importance: the anti-codon, which is responsible for specific mRNA codon recognition, and the 3' end, to which the tRNAs corresponding amino acid is attached (by aminoacyl-tRNA synthetases). tRNAs cope with the degeneracy of the genetic code in two manners: having more than one tRNA (with a specific anti-codon) for a particular amino acid; and 'wobble' base-pairing, i.e. permitting non-standard base-pairing at the 3rd anti-codon position. The record is from RNAcentral. Lineage: Bacteria; Pseudomonadati; Thermodesulfobacteriota; Desulfuromonadia; Geobacterales; Geobacteraceae. RNAcentral also lists the same sequence under 13 other names.
GGGCGGGUAGCUCAGUUGGAUAGAGUACUGGCCUCCGAAGCCAGGGGUCAUGGGUUCGAAUCCCAUCUCGCCCACCA